Monomorium pharaonis (pharaoh ant) is the source of this 8963-nucleotide RNA transcript. It is a transcript of the gene named aquaporin AQPAe.a, with no coding region annotated. The transcript is spliced from 8 exons. NCBI's taxonomy places the organism in Eukaryota, Metazoa, Arthropoda, Insecta, Hymenoptera, Formicidae. The record is from RefSeq and is a predicted model, not a curated record.
CUUUUUUACAUUCUUGUGAAGAACAUCCGUGAUCCGUGGCGAUUUGCGCAGAUUGUUAAAGUAAUAGUCAUAGUAAAUACGACGGUCGCGUCGACGAGUGAGCUCAUUAUGCAGAACGAUUGGGAUAACGGAACAUGGAAAAUGCAAGCGAAUACGAUGACCAUGUUCAUGGCGGAGGCCGUCGGUACGGCUAUUCUCUUGCUCUUCGGGUGUAUGGGAUGUAUCGGCACCCUGGGACCCGCACCACCUCCACUGCUGCAAACGGCACUUACUUUCGGUCUGACAGUGAAUCUCGUAAUUAUGACGAUAGGUCACGUAAGUGGCGCUCACAUUAAUCCGGUUAUCACCAUCGGUGCUGUCAUUAUGGGCCUGAAGUCAAUUCCGACCGGCAUGGUUUACAUCCUGGGACAGCUUAUUGGCGCCACUGUGGGAUAUGGAGCUUUAAAAAUGAUAACGCCAGCGGAAUUGUUCAAUGACGGAAACUUGAAUGUGAAUGCGAGUCUUUGCGUUACAACUGUUCAUCCAGAGAUUAGCUGCGUGCAAGGUUUAUUAAUCGAGGUGUUUUGUACAACUUGCAUACUUUGCGCGGCUUGCGCCACGUGGGAUCCUCGAUGCGCUCACAUUACGGAUUCGGUCGCCCUCAAAUUCGGCCUCACCGUCGCCACACUUUCCUUCGCUGCGGGUCCUUACACUGGGUGCAGUAUGAAUCCAGCACGAUCAUUUGCGCCUGCACUUUGGAAUAAUGAUUGGAAGGAUCAUUGGAUCUCCAGUUCGCACGACGAUCUCGAUGGCGUAAUCCUACAUGGCUGGUCGUCCGAUUGCGCAAUUCCGCCAUAAUUUAUUCGGUGAAUACGACGGAUUUGCACCGGCGUGGCCAGGCAAAAACAUCGUACGUGUAACCGGCAAAGGUUCAUCAACCUUCACCCAGCGACACACUCUCGCCGGCUGGGACUUGGUCACGGAUACGAUCGAUAGCGGGGCGUUUCGUCGACGUUUCGAGAAACUCGCGUCCCAGGCGGUACGCACACACCUGCGUGCACCCCGGGACUUGAAAAACGCCCAUCGUCGUUCCCGUGGAAAAGGUAUACCGUAUACUUGCAGCAUUGUCGUGCCACAAGUGUCACGGGGCAGAUCGUUGCAAACCGGCUGGCCCCGCGCGACCGGUUGGCCGAAGAUUUGAGAUCCUGAAAGCCCACCAACCCUACUGCAACAUCAUCCUCGACGUGACUACCGAGUUCAAGGUCGCGCGAUACCGGCGAGGCAACUAAAAUUAGUUCAGCGGGCAGGUUAUCUAUGCGCUCGGGGUAGCCACGACGUUGUGAACAAAGAAUUCGUUAUUUAUGUAACGAGUUGAUGAGGGUGAACCGCGGUGCCACGAUGACGAAAGAAAAUCUCUCGAGACCUCUCUCUCUCUCUCUCUCUCUUUCUCUCUGCCUCCCUCUCGAGGGAGAGAAUAUUGCGACGCAAUAUACUCUCCUUUCUUUUCCCUCUCAGCAGAUCGAAGUUCUGCGCGGCGCGCGAUUAGGGUGGGGCAGUUUUCGUACCAUGUUGCGUAAUAGACGUUCACCCUUUGCACGAAGUUAUUAUAAUGGCUGUGCGAUGAAGUAUAAACAACUUGCUGGGUUUAAUAUAGACGACGAUGCGAGGGAAACUGUCUAACUUUACACAGCUAUUCUUUAUUUUGUUACGUUGUAGAUACUAAAAAAAAUUUUUUACUGGAAAAAAAAACUUGAGUUAUAUACUAUCAUUGUAGCAUAAGUUAUAUUUACGCGUAAUUUACGCGAAGAUAUUAAUAUCAGAGUAUCACGAGAAUUAUAAUAUACAAUUCUUUUGAUAAUUUACAAUGAAGGAACAACGGUUUUGUUAAGCUUUCUUAUCAUGAGUCAUGAUUUACACGAAGGUAUUAAUAUCAGAGUCGCAAGAAUUAUAAUGUAAAUUUUUUUAUAACUUGCAACGAAGAGCAAUGAUUUUUAUUAAUCUUUACGGUAUAAUUUCCAUUUUUAUCGUUAGUCAACACAAUCGUGGAGAAGGAAUUAAUGGAUGAAAUGUAUAAUCGAUGCGUUUAUUUUGCUGGGUCGGAGACAGCGUACAUUUGCGCACUUUCUAUAUGUCAUAUCUAUAACUCACUUCGUGCAUCUAUCGAUUAGCUACUGCAGCUGAACCUCGAAUGUUCUGGAACACGGUGGAAACACCUAAACUGCAAUAUCUACGCUUAUAGCGUCAAUUUGCCCAUUACGAAAAUAUCCGAUGAAAUCCGUUCCUUUCCGCAAGAGAAACAAUUACUAUUAUUAGCUGCUAAUGUAAGUUGUUAGAAUAUUUUAAACAUUAAAUGUCUAUAUGUAGAACGUAUUAUAUGUUCUUGGGUAAUUUAUUAUUCAAUACAUUUACAGAGCUAUAUCGUGGACCACUCACAAUCAGAAUGUGAUUACCGCAUAAAAACCACACACCGUAUCACUUGUUCUAUAAAUAUACUUUAUGAGCGAUGCGUUGAAUAACAAAUUUAAUCCAAGAUAUUCAGAGCGCAUAUAUCGUCGAGUUACACACGACAUUUCCUAACUGUAAGUACACCCAAUUAAUCAUUUUCUCGAGAUUGAAAAAAACGUGAUCUCGAUUUUCUAGCUGUAUGAUUUUCUAACUGUAAAGUAGAUUUGUUCCAGUGACCUGUCAGAGGAUCGAAAAAACGUGCUAAUUGAAAGUCCGCAUUCAUUAGCGACGCACGCUAACUGUAUACCAUCUUCGUUCCAACGAGAUCGGUAAAAGGAGGAGACGUCGUUGAGAAAGUUCCCACAGAUGAUCGCGCGCGCUCCCAUUUGAUGCAACAUAGUUGGCAACCGUCUAGCAUUUCAUUACGCCGCUCUGAAUGACACCUGAAUGUAACGAGGUAUCACACGGCACAUUGUGCAUAUUUCUAUGAAGUAUACAAGUAGUUCCGUUCACCCUACCCACCUCGUCGUGCCUCUAAUCCGCCGGCCGUUGUUAACGGCCGACAAAAAGACGAUCUCUCGCAGGGAGAGGGAGAGAAAGAGAGAUAAGUAUCUGGCGCGCGCGGCACGACCCUCAUAUAUAUCUCUCUGAAUAAAAUUGCAUUAAUUGCGUCUACUUAAAAAGGAGCGGCCUUUGUGGAUACGUUCGGGCCGGGCUAACGAGCGGCGAUAUGAAAAGGAAAUCGAUAGAGCGGUACAUGAUACACCGAAAGAGGAACGAACGUAAUAUUAUGCAACCCGGUUGUAACGCCGCUAUUAUAUACGCCGUUGCCCGGCCGCGCAUCAUCAGAGCCGUUGCAAUCUCUAACGCGAGCGCGAAUUUAUUCAUCUUCCUUUUCUCUCUCCCUCCCUCACUCUCUCUCUUUCUUUCCACAAUUACGCAUCUUCAGACAGAAAAUCGUCCUCGCGACCCACAUCUUCUGCUCUGAGUGCUCCCGAAAGUGGGCUGACGCUACGUUGCGUAAUGAUGUUUGCGUCUCCGAUUGUCACCGGCAAUCUCGCGUUUGCAUCGAAAUUGCUCAUUCUCACGCUAUCGCCCGUACGUGCGUAUGUACAUACGUAAAAGACACGCGCGUGAGUCAACCCGGCCGACGCGUGUGUUUGCAAACACACGCGUCGGCCGGGUCCCGGCUGCGCCUUCAAAUCUCGUAAAAAUAGCUGUCGGUCGCCUCAAGAGUCUGAUAAAAAAAACUGCGUCGAAGCGGCCACAAGGUCGCUCCAAGCUGCGAGCCUGGCUGCGCAGUACGGAAAUCCCACCACAAACGCGCGCGCCUUCCGACCGUAGAAACUACGUUUUAACGUUUCAGCGUGGCGCACGCACGCCAAUUUCGCAAUAUUGGAUCACGACGUGUGGCGUCCCUUUCUCCUCCCUUCCUCUCUCGCUUUUUUUCUUCCCUACGCGUCUCUCGGCGUUCGUUUACAAAACACUCUCGAAAACAGCCUCUAAUCUGUUUACUAACGAUAACGGCCUCUCCCCAAUGAUAACAGAAUCCUCAUUAUCGCGCGUCGCAUACAGAAUGCAAAAAUCGCCACGUCCAGGAUGUCUCUCUCUCUCUCUCUCUUUGAUCAACAUAAAUCAAUCAUCCCGUGGACGUGAUCCUUCCGAGUAAUAGUUCGGACAAACAAAGGGCCAAGGUUGUCCUACUGACACCCGCGCGGCGAUGUCUUCGCUGCGCAGUAGGUUCCAACGCGGUCAUUCUUUCUUUUUAAUCUAUCCGGUCCUCCCGCAGGUCGUUCUCUUCUCGAGAUACGAGACGAUGCGCACGUAGGUACAGCCGCACGAGAUCAACGACGAACGAGGAGGCUACGCUCACGUUAUACAAGCGAUGUUAUAUCACACACCGGUUGACCGUGCUAAUGGGAGCGGGGGCGAUGAGGGAGAGGGGUCUCUUUCUCCUGUAUGUGUGUGUGUUUGUGUGGGUUGGGUGAUAUGGUGGGGUCUCCGGUCGGAGCUGAGCGAACGUGCCAGAAAUCCCGUCGUCCCUGCCGACCGGGGACCCGAUCAAUACUUUGGCAUCUGCUGAUUUCCUGGUCAUAACGUGGGAAAAACAGAUCGGCCAAUGCACCGAUCGACAGAUCUCGUCGCGGUGGUGCCGAUUGUCGUGGUCCCGACCCGGGCCGGACGCCGGCAAGGCCCGAAACGAUCGAUCGCCGGGAAUUGCGCAUUAGGCGACGAGGCGGAGUGAGGACGCGGUCGGAGAUCUCGAAGCUUCCUCCGCGUUGCGACGCCGCGGCGGCGCGCGCCUAUAUAAGGCGGCCGGCCGGCCAGCCGCGGCGCAUUCGUAAACAAACCCUGGUUCAGUUUGGACGCUGCGAACACCCGAAGACCCCCCUUCACCCACCACCAUCAGUGUAACACACUUCGGCUUCUUACUUCGUCGAGACCGCCGGCACGGGAAAAUGUAGGCGAGCGGGCACCAGGUGCGGAGCGCGACAGUUUACCUGCACCCUACGGGGUCGGUGCUUGAACAAUCCGUACGCGACGAUAACAGCCGUGAUUAGAAGUUGAAAUUCCUUCACUCUUUGAACAAAUAUGAGAAGAGAACCUCGAGAUAUAGUUUAGAGCAGACUCGUAGUGUUUGAUCCGAAAUCGUCGAACGACCAUCUGCCUCUUCUAGUACUACACGCUGAGGCGCAGCAUUGGGAACGUCGGGAUCGAAAAGCAAAAAUCAAAUAUGUAACGUAAGCCGCAUUAGCUAUAACAAAGACGAGAGAGGGGAGAGAGAGUGAAAGAGCGAGAGAGGGGAAUAGUGGAGGAGAGAGAGAGAGAGGGGGGAGGCUCCGUUCGUUCGCGGUUGAUUCCGCGAAUGAGGGAGCGGGGCGGAUGUUAACGCGAACUGUCUCGGCUCGAUCGAGCUUACCCUUUUGGGCGCCGUGAUUGUUAGUACACCAUCCGAGGAGAGAGUCGAAGUGAUGUUGACGAGAUCGUGAGUCGGGGGCAGGACGUAUCUGCGUACGAAGUGUCUGCUGAUGUAGCCGUGCUCGUCCUGCUUCUCCUCGUGCUUGGCCUCGACAACGACGUAAUUGUCAACCGUCUUCACCGUGAUCUCACUCGGUGAGAACUGUUGCACGUCCAGUAUCACCUGCGGAUCAGAGAGCGCCGUUAACUUACUCGGGAUAUCCUCUCUCGUCACCGCCACCGAGGACAGAAGUAUCUCGCAUCCUACCGUGAGCGAUCGCGAAACCACCCGUCAUGCAUCCAUAGUGCGAAAGUUAAGUAUCGACAUCACACCUGUACGAGCUUACUCCGAAAAAAAAAAAAAGAAAAAAUUAUGAUCGACCUUUGAGCGAUAAGAGACCCGCCACCCUUUUCUUGUAUUGCGCGGAUUCCUUUUGUUUCGACAUUUUGUUUCUUGUUCUGGCUAACUGAAUUUCCGGAAGAGGAUCUCGAACGCCGCCGUGCACAUAUUCCAGCGCAUAUUCUAAAUCGUACUCUAAAAUAUUAUACGCGUAGGGUUAAUUCACGCACAACAGUUUCGGCUUGCCAUCUGGGAAGCAACGCUUCAUUCGGUCACUUCCACAUUUGUCCCUUCACGCUUCUGCGUUCAGGGGAGCCGCCGAUCAGGUCCGAUUAUUAAAAUUUCCGCGACAGAAGAAAGAAAUGGCAGUACAACCAACGUUUUAGAUCCUAUCCCGCUCGUCAGAUAAGCGCAUCGUGAAAGCACUAAUUUUCCUUUUCGCGUCGCGAUUCUCUCAUGUGUAAUUCUACGCGGUUCCUUUAGAUUUGUCCCGUAUAACAAAAACCAAACCGGGAAAAUGUAGUUGCCGGGCAUACCUACUUGUGUGAGAUUGUUCUUUUUUUUUUUACGAUCAGAAAAAACGAGCAUACAUACAAGUAGGUGAUUCUUCUUUAUUUGUAACUGACGCGUGCGCGGUCGUGCAGGGAGCGAUCGGUCGCGAUCGCGGUGGCUGGUCCCUUUGCGGCCGGCGCGCGAGCUCGCGUUGGGCGAGGAAAACAAGGAACCGAUAAAAUAAAAACAAAGAUAAAAAAAAUAAAAAAAGAAUAGAAAGAGAGAAGAUGAAUAACAUUUUGACAUAGAACGAGGAACUCUAACACUCGACGGUAGUGAGGCAAGCGUACCCGAGUCUCUCCGGGUGAUCCUGCGUGAUCCUGGAGCGGACCUCGGCGAGCGCGAAGAGAUUAGCGGAGGAUAAUUGGCUGUGCAUUUCGAAAAUAGUACCAAAAAAAAAAAAAAACAAGAGUAGAAGAGAGGAGGAGAGAUAAGAGUUCGUGGAGGGAUCUCGCUCCACGAACGAUCGGCUCGAGUGCUGCGCGCGGAGCGACACAUACUUUUGUACAAAUACAGAGAAAUAAAGAGAAACGAAUUCCGCGUAAGAAGGAGGAAAGAUAAAAAAAAAGCACAAAGGUCAUUUUGUACGAUUCUAUUGUUGUGGGUAUUCAAAAAGCAUUUAUUUUUGUAUAGAGAUUAUAAACAGCGGGGGGGUACCGGGGCCCGCGGGUCGCGGUUAACGCGAGCGGCGCACCCUUUGAGAUGAGGGGUGCGUCCACGCUCGUCGUCGGGACGGCACGAGAGCCUCGGUUCUUCCGCUCGAACAAGACUGACUAAAAGCGCGACGCGAUAUAUACAUCCACUCUUUCGGUUGCAUAUUUUAUUCCGUGGCUGCUGCGCGCGAUUUUCCGCGUGCGAAGCACUCCGAACGAAAAAAAAAAAAAAUUGCAAGACAACGUCACGUACGGAAAUUGGUAGUCACCUCGGAUCUGCGGCAGGCAAACCGUGCGCGCGAUUGCGCGAGGAGAAAAUAUCGCGGAAAGAGAAGAGUGAAAAACAACAAAAGAGAAACAAACGCACACAUACACGCGCGCACACACACACACAUACACACAUAUAUGUACACAGUAAGAAUAAAGAGAGGGGGAGGUAAAACGAGAACUGUGGUAAAACUGUGAUUUCAUAGAGAUUCCGAAAACCGGCGUGACUAACCGGAGAUCGUGCAGCGCGAUCGUCCUUUUUUGAUACCGCAUACCUUUCAUAGAACAUUUCCGGCAAACGAGAAGGAUAACUGGUCCCUUCAGACUGGAAAUCUGCUAAUACCGUAAUCAUUACUACACAACCGGACUAUAUCGAAAUAGGGCGAUUAGAUGAACGAUGUAGGAGAAACUAGAUUCUUUUCGGCACAAACGCGGUUUAUUGUAAAAGGGGACUGAUAACGUCGUGGAUAUUUUUUUGACUAUUCGAGCUCUUGCGGGGAAGAGAAAAAAAAAGACGAAGAAAGAAGACAAAAAUACCGUAUUCGCGAAAAAAAGAGAAAAAAAAAACAAGAAAAGUCGUCCCUCCGAUCCGAUUUAUUACUCGCCCUCCCUCCUCCCGAGGAGGGGGGUGCAAAAAACGUCCCCUACCCCUCGUCCCGAAAAUAGUCCCGCUCGAACACUCGUUUCACCAUCCCGAUCUGUCGUGAAAAUCGUGCUGCCGCCCUCUCGGUCGACUUACCGUCGCGAUCGCGGCGAUUACGAAGGCGUAGAUUAAAACGCGUAAAUGCAUAAUACAUGUAUGCGUGUAUGGCGUUAGAGACAGCGGUAGCUGCAGCGACAUAGAUGCAGUCAUCAGUUUUUCGGGCCUUCUGGUGUUCCGGAACUUUUUCGUUCGUUGCUUUUUGUUGUAAGCCACCCUUACGUUGAGUUUCACCCGUCCCUUACGUUUGGUUUCAUCCCCUGCCGGGGUACCUUUUUCUUUUCUAUUUUAACGGCCGCGCGGCUAAUUCGUUCCCCUCAAAAGUAACGUUCAAUUCCGUUCAAGUAAGUAGUUUCCACUUCGAUCUUUUCCGUUAACGCCUUUUUUUCUCCCCCUUUUACCCUUUCUCCCUUUUCUCUUCCCUUUCAUCCCGCCCUUCCCCUUCAUCCUUCCCUUCCUUUUUUUUUCCUUUUUACGAAUGCGCCCUUUCAUCCUUCCCUCUCACGUCAUUCCCGUCAUCUCUUCGGUCAUUUGUCUCCUGCGACUUUUCUAUAUUUCGAAAUCUAGUUACGAUAUUCGCUACUCGUUUUUUCGCUAGAAGAUAAUGUAAAAAGAAAGUAUCUUCCCCUGUAAUACACAUAUUAAAUAUUGUACUUUGUUUCGUAGGCUAUCAUUCGAGGCUUUUUAUAUUCGACACAAAAUUAAUUUUUGCGUCCGAUACAAAACGCACUCGAGCUACAAAUACCAAAAUAAGAAAUAAGGAAAACCACUAAAGAGUUUAAGUCGUGUCUUUUAGCCUAAGUUGUAUCGCACUGAAUGUGUAAUCGAGCACAUUCCGCACGUUUUUUAUUUCUGAAAUCAUCCCGAGAAAAUCAAUGUAAUUAUAGCGCGUCGAGGCAGAGCGGUCUCGAAUUCAUGAAUUUAGAACUGUCAGGUGAAUCGCAUUACAUCCAUGACGAAAUGUGAAUGUAAUUUGAUGAACCGAAGAGGGUACAUACUCGUGAGUUUGGGAGAGUGUUAGGCAAGUUGCACAUCUGUAUUCGACGUAACAACCGUUGCAAAAAAAAAA